This 800-nucleotide ribosomal RNA is filed under the name uncultured bacterium. RNAcentral's name for it is "bacterial SSU rRNA". It matches the Rfam family "Bacterial small subunit ribosomal RNA", at positions 8 to 826 of the family's 1533-position model. The record is from RNAcentral.
AGAGUUUGAUCAUGGCUCAGGAUGAACGCUGGCGGCGUGCUUAACACAUGCAAGUCGAACGAGCUAUUUUCUUCGGAGGAUAGCGAGUGGCGGACGGGUGAGUAACGCGUGGGUAACCUGCCCCAUACAGGGGGAUAACAGCUGGAAACGGCUGAUAAUACCGCAUAAGCGCACAGUACCGCAUGGUACGGUGUGAAAAGCCCCGGCGGUAUGGGAUGGGCCCGCGUCUGAUUAGCCAGUUGGCGGGGUAACGGCCCACCAAAGCGACGAUCAGUAGCCGACUUGAGAGAGUGACCGGCCACAUUGGGACUGAGACACGGCCCAAACUCCUACGGGAGGCAGCAGUGGGGAAUAUUGCACAAUGGGGGAAACCCUGAUGCAGCGACGCCGCGUGAGUGAGGAAGUAUUUCGGUAUGUAAAGCUCUAUCAGCAGGGAAGAAAAUGACGGUACCUGACUAAGAAGCCCCGGCUAAAUACGUGCCAGCAGCCGCGGUAAUACGUAUGGGGCAAGCGUUAUCCGGAUUUACUGGGUGUAAAGGGAGCGCAGGCGGCGAGGCAAGUCAGAAGUGAAAACCCGGGGCUCAACCCCGCGGAUUGCUUUUGAAACUGCCCGGCUGGAGUGCAGGAGGGGCAAGCGGAACUCCUAGUGUAGCGGUGAAAUGCGUAGAUAUUAGGAAGAACACCGGUGGCGAAGGCGGCUUGCUGGACUGUAACUGACGCUGAGGCUCGAAGGCGUGGGGAGCAAACAGGAUUAGAUACCCCGGUAGUCCACGCAGUAAACGAUGAAUACCAGGUGUCGG